UAUCAGGAAAAAUCUAGCCUCUCCUAGGCUUUGUCUGUGCACUAUCUCACACACAAGUCAGACAUAGCCUGAAAGAGGUUAGGUGGUACUUGAUCA
Phlebotomus papatasi is the source of this 96-nucleotide non-coding RNA. The record is from Rfam. NCBI's taxonomy places the organism in Eukaryota, Metazoa, Arthropoda, Insecta, Diptera, Psychodidae.